Molecule: ribosomal RNA, 797 nt
Filed under: Lactiplantibacillus plantarum
Lineage: Bacteria; Bacillati; Bacillota; Bacilli; Lactobacillales; Lactobacillaceae
Description: bacterial SSU rRNA
Rfam family: Bacterial small subunit ribosomal RNA
Source: RNAcentral
GCAUUACUGUAGGUAUUGAUUGGUGCUUGCAUCAUGAUUUACAUUUGAGUGAGUGGCGAACUGGUGAGUAACACGUGGGAAACCUGCCCAGAAGCGGGGGAUAACACCUGGAAACAGAUGCUAAUACCGCAUAACAACUUGGACCGCAUGGUCCGAGCUUGAAAGAUGGCUUCGGCUAUCACUUUUGGAUGGUCCCGCGGCGUAUUAGCUAGAUGGUGGGGUAACGGCUCACCAUGGCAAUGAUACGUAGCCGACCUGAGAGGGUAAUCGGCCACAUUGGGACUGAGACACGGCCCAAACUCCUACGGGAGGCAGCAGUAGGGAAUCUUCCACAAUGGACGAAAGUCUGAUGGAGCAACGCCGCGUGAGUGAAGAAGGGUUUCGGCUCGUAAAACUCUGUUGUUAAAGAAGAACAUAUCUGAGAGUAACUGUUCAGGUAUUGACGGUAUUUAACCAGAAAGCCACGGCUAACUACGUGCCAGCAGCCGCGGUAAUACGUAGGUGGCAAGCGUUGUCCGGAUUUAUUGGGCGUAAAGCGAGCGCAGGCGGUUUCUUAAGUCUGAUGUGAAAGCCUUCGGCUUAACCGAAGAAGUGCAUCGGAAACUAGGAGACUUGAGUGCAGAAGAGGACAGUGGAACUCCUGGUGUAGCGGUGAAAUGCGUAGAUUUAUGGAAGAACACCAGUGGCGAAGGCGGCUGUCUGGUCUGUAACUGACGCUGAGGCUCGAAAGUAUGGGUAGCAAACAGGAUUAGAUACCCUGGUAGUCCAUACCGUAAACGAUGAAUGCUAAGCUUCGA